CUUGCCAAUAGUGCAUACAUUUAACACAAAUGUUUUAAGUAAAACAACCACAAAAAAAUUAACAAGUGUACCAUAUCAAAGAUUGAUUAAUAAAACUAACACAGAAGCUUUUAAAAAGGAAAUUAAAAAUUUUUCCUGGGAUAAUAUAUUAAGUGAAACAAAUGACCCAGUAAAGGCCUACAAUGAAUUUUUGGAAACGUUUGGGGAUGUAUAUGAAGUGAAUUUCCCACUGAAAAGAAAACAAAACAAUG
Molecule: non-coding RNA, 251 nt
Organism: Paramuricea clavata
Lineage: Eukaryota; Metazoa; Cnidaria; Anthozoa; Malacalcyonacea; Plexauridae
Source: the annotation of a GenBank genome assembly